AUUGUGUAAUACUUUUUUAUUUGUCUGUUGCACAAUCUAUUUGCUGAUACUUGUUUCUUUCCCUCCCUCCCUCUCCCCUAGGCUAUCAAACAAAGCUGCCCAACCUUACACUCAUCCAUCAACCUCGAGUUAUUAAGAGAAUAACUGCAGAACAUUUACAAGUGGAUGGGAUGGAGUCCUGGCUGCUUUUCAAGAACACGGAGUCAGUGCUUUGCAAAAACUUUGCAAGAUGGCAAAUUUUCUCAUGCUGCCUGUUCCUUGCUCUGCUGGGACCUGCUGGAAGGAAUGGCUUCUUCAGUGUAGGGUUUUCCCCAUCUUCCCCUUCCCUAUAAGGUCCAGAGACAUUAUAAUCACAUCCCACAUGGGCCAAAUCAUGCCGAUGAGCCAAGAGGUGUGGAGAAGUCUAAUCUGGGCCACACAACUCUCACUUGUGUAUCUAGGCCACCCAGCCCUUUGUUAUUUCAGACUAGAGCAGUGA
RNAcentral lists this long non-coding RNA (478 nucleotides) under Calidris pygmaea (Spoon-billed sandpiper). Its description in RNAcentral is "lncRNA (ENSCPGG00000006681.1)". Lineage: Eukaryota; Metazoa; Chordata; Aves; Charadriiformes; Scolopacidae. The record is from RNAcentral.